Oryza sativa Japonica Group (Japanese rice) is the source of this 1831-nucleotide long non-coding RNA. RefSeq lists it as uncharacterized. The record is from RefSeq and is a predicted model, not a curated record. NCBI's taxonomy places the organism in Eukaryota, Viridiplantae, Streptophyta, Magnoliopsida, Poales, Poaceae.
CGGCAUUUGCUCCCUGGUUGAUCUCUGAAGAGUUCAGAAUUCAGAGCAGAAGUAGUAUGAAGCUUCUUGACACAUGCAUGCCAAAACAUGGCUCCGUUUGGAGAAGGCUUAGCAAUUAGCAUGUUUGAGGAUGUGCAAGAGGAGGUUUAUCCAGGACAAUCUAUAAAGUGCACACCAUGGAACCUGACAACUUGAAGCUCACCGAAUUUCUUGGUUUCACUCAUCAUGCAUAAGCCAGCAAAGUAGCCAACACAAUCGAAAAUACCAAAACCGAGAGUGUCAAUGGUUGUUUUGUCAGAGGACUUGCAUUAGGCAACCAUGGAUAUGCAUCCGGAGGUGGCAUGACACAAUUAUCACCAUUGAAGUACACGCGGUGUGGGAAGGCCCAUCCCUUGUCAAAGGUGAAGUCCUUGGAAUCCUUACGCAGAAGAAGUUCUGACUGUGCAUUUCCAAGUGGACCAGCUUGCAUGAGCAAAUCGUUAUAGAACUUAACUCCCCAGAACAUCGCAGUAUCAUCUAAAAUAGAAGGAAUAAACUUCAUCAGAGAAAGAGAGAGAGAGAGAGAGAUAAAGGAACGUAUUACAAGUGCACUCCAAUUUUCUUAAAUAAAGGAGAACAGUUUGUAAAUUGACUUACUUAUCUUGCUUCCAUAUGGAGUAAGUGGCUUGUAGUUGAAGCUAAACAGCUGGGUGAUAUUAUUGAAGUUAGGAUGUUGAGCGACCAAAUUCCACUGUGUGUAAUUCAUGCGGUAGUUGAAGUUCGUAAUCGUGAUCUUCACUCUCCAAUAUUCCUUAUAGUUGAGUUUCACAUGCCAGUGGAUUCUGAUCGGGCACAUGUGAGAAGUACAUUGGACAAGAGGCUGACCGGUCCAUUUGCCAGGGCCAUCAAUGGCAGAUUGUAAAUAAGGUGAAUUCUCACUGUGGAAAUGCAUGGAACUUGUUAGCAAUUUUGCAGAAAAGUUGGGCCUCAACAAGAAGCGAAGUAAGAGUUUUGGUUUUAUUAACUCACUUUACACAGCUUCCAGGACUUGUCCCAUUGUUUUGGCAGCCACAAGAGCAUGUUGGGCAGUUCACAAUUGUGUCAUUAUAAAAUGAUGAGAGAGAUACACAGCAGGAAGGAGUCUUCUGAGCAAGAAAUUGGGAGUAUGUGCAGGUCACAUUCCAUGUCACUGCAAACAGAUUUUAUUUUUGUUAAGAAACAAAAAACAAAAAUGAACUUUAUGGUAUAAGAUUUUGACAAAUUUAACUUCUAUAUGGAGCCACUAUGAUGCAUGUCUGCAUUUGACGAAUAUUAUUUGCUAGAGAAUAAUAUUAACUGAAUUAGCUGUAUUCUAUUAGGCCAACAUGCCAAGUAAUAUAACCUAUUAUCAACUAUUAUUCACAGUUGGACUCAUCUCACUUUGAGAACAAUCUCUUUCCCUUCAACAGAUUACAUCUUCUUACUAACCCUACACAUAAGGUAACCUAGUUCAACCAUGCAAUUGUUGUUUAGGCUGCAAAUGCAUUUCCUCAAAGAAUGAAAGCAAUUGGUAUUAAACAUUAAAGAACAACAGAUGAGCUACUUACUUAGAGCUUGGGUUGCUCUGCGCCCAUCCCCGGUGAAAAACUUAGUAGGCCUGACAAUCAUAGCACGCCCGCACGUGUACCCAGGACCUGGGGCCUUAAGAGUGAAGUUCUUAGGCAACUUAACUGUCUUGUUGGUAGUCCCAGCAAGACCUACACUGAUCUGGAAGGAAGAAGCAGCAUUUGAUGGGUCCUGGUUAAAUGUAUUUAUAACUCCAGCUUUGCAGCAAUUAGCGAUUUGCAUGUUGUAUGGGGUGCCCGGAAGCAGA